AAGUCGUAACAAGGUUUCCGUAGGUGAACCUGCGGAAGGAUCAUUACAGAGUUCGUGCCCUCCCGGGUAGAUCUCCCACCCUUUGAAUACAUACCUCUGUUGCUUUGGCGGGCCACGUCCGCGUGCUGGCUCCGGCUAGCUGCGCCCGCCAGAGGACCCCAACUCGUUUGUUUAGUGAUGUCUGAGUACUAUAUAAUAGUUAAAACUUUCAACAACGGAUCUCUUGGUUCUGGCAUCGAUGAAGAACGCAGCGAAAUGCGAUAAGUAAUGUGAAUUGCAGAAUUCAGUGAAUCAUCGAAUCUUUGAACGCACAUUGCGCCCCUUGGCAUUCCGAGGGGCAUGCCUGUUCGAGCGUCACUAUGACCACUCAAGCCUGGCUUGGUGUUGGGGCCCGCGGUUCCGCGGCCCUUAAAAUCCGUGGCGGCGCCAUCUGGCUCUAAGCGCAGUAAUACUCCUCGCUACAGAGUCCUGGUGGAUGCUUGCCAGCAACCCCCAAUCUCACGGUUGACCUCGGAUCAGGUAGGGAUACCCGCUGAACUUAAGCAUAUCAAUAAGCGGAGGAAAAGAAACCAACAGGGAUUGCCUUAGUAACGGCGAGUGAAGCGGCAACAGCUCAAAUUUGAAAUCUGGCUCCUGCGGGGUCCGAGUUGUAAUUUGUAGAAGUGGCUUUGGGCGUGGCUCCGGUCUAAGUUCCUUGGAACAGGACGUCAUAGAGGGUGAGAAUCCCGUAUGUGACUGGGCGCCUUCGCUCGUGUAAAGCCCUUUCGACGAGUCGAGUUGUUUGGGAAUGCAGCUCAAAAUGGGUGGUAAAUUUCAUCUAAAGCUAAAUAUUGGCCAGAGACCGAUAGCGCACAAGUAGAGUGAUCGAAAGAUGAAAAGCACUUUGGAAAGAGAGUUAAACAGUACGUGAAAUUGUUGAAAGGGAAGCGCUUGCAACCAGACUUGCACGCUGUUGAUCAUCCGAGGUUCUCCCCGGUGCACUCGGCAGCGUCCAGGCCAGCAUCGGUCUUGGUGGGUGGGUAAAGGCCUUGGGAAUGUAGCUCCUCUCGGGGAGUGUUAUAGCCCUCGGUGCAAUGCGCCCUACCGGGACCGAGGACCGCGCUCCGGCUAGGAUGCUGGCGUAAUGGUCGCAAGCGACC
RNAcentral lists this ribosomal RNA (1139 nucleotides) under uncultured fungus. RNAcentral describes it as "eukaryotic LSU rRNA". The stretch from base 506 to 1139 matches the Rfam family "Eukaryotic large subunit ribosomal RNA", at positions 1 to 649 of the family's 3401-position model. The record is from RNAcentral. Lineage: Eukaryota; Fungi.